GAUGAACGCUAGCGGCAGGCCUAAUACAUGCAAGUCGAGGGAGAAUGUUGGAUUCGUCUGACAUGAAACCGGCGCACGGGUGCGUAACACGUAUGCAACCUACCUUUAACUGGGGUAUAGCUCAGAGAAAUCUGAAUUAAUCCCCCAUAAGACUACGACAUGGCAUCAUGAUGUAGUUAAAGCUCCGGCGGUUAAGGAUGGGCAUGCGGUACAUUAGCUAGUUGGUGAGGUAAUGGCUCACCAAGGCUACGAUGUAUAGGGGGUCUGAGAGGAUGAGCCCCCACACUGGAACUGAGACACGGACCAGACUCCUACGGGAGGCAGCAGUAGGGAAUAUUGGUCAAUGGACGCAAGUCUGAACCAGCCAUGCCGCGUAAAGGAUGAAGGCCCUAUGGGUCGUAAACUUCUUUUAUUAGGGAAGAAAAAACGGGAUGCGUCCUGUACUGACGGUACUUAAUGAAUAAGGAUCGGCUAACUUCGUGCCAGCAGCCGCAGUAA
This 498-nucleotide ribosomal RNA is filed under the name uncultured bacterium. RNAcentral describes it as "partial 16S ribosomal RNA". It matches the Rfam family "Bacterial small subunit ribosomal RNA", at positions 28 to 523 of the family's 1533-position model. The record is from RNAcentral.